UAGCUCAGUGGUAGAGUGUGUGCUUAAUAUGUGCAACGUCCUGGGUUCAAUCCCCAUUACCUCCA
This 65-nucleotide transfer RNA is filed under the name Camelus ferus (Wild Bactrian camel). It matches the Rfam family "tRNA". Rfam says of the family: Transfer RNA (tRNA) molecules are approximately 80 nucleotides in length. Their secondary structure includes four short double-helical elements and three loops (D, anti-codon, and T loops). Lineage: Eukaryota; Metazoa; Chordata; Mammalia; Artiodactyla; Camelidae. The record is from Rfam by way of RNAcentral.